RNAcentral lists this ribosomal RNA (253 nucleotides) under uncultured bacterium. Its description in RNAcentral is "partial 16S ribosomal RNA". It matches the Rfam family "Bacterial small subunit ribosomal RNA", at positions 524 to 775 of the family's 1533-position model. The record is from RNAcentral.
UACAGAGGGUGCGAGCGUUGUCCGGAAUCACUGGGCGUAAAGGGCGCGUAGGUGGCGCGACAAGUCAGUGGUGAAAAGCUCGACGCUCAACGUCGAGUCGGCCACUGAUACUGUUAGGCUUGAGCACUGUAGAGGCUAAUGGAAUUCCGGGUGUAGCGGUGGAAUGCGUAGAGAUCCGGAAGAACACCGGUGGCGAAGGCGGUUAGCUGGGCAGUUGCUGACACUGAGGCGCGACAGCGUGGGGAGCAAACGG